Molecule: ribosomal RNA, 253 nt
Filed under: uncultured bacterium
Lineage: Bacteria
Description: partial 16S ribosomal RNA
Rfam family: Bacterial small subunit ribosomal RNA
Source: RNAcentral
UACAGGGGGUGCAAGCGUUAUUCGGAUUUAUUGGGCGUAAAGAGCGUGUAGGUGGUUUGUUAAGUCUGGUGUGAAAUCCCUGGGCUCAAUCCAGGAAGUGCAUUGGAUACUGGCAGACUAGAGUACAGGAGAGGAUGGCGGAAUUCCAGGUGUAGAGGUGAAAUUCGUAGAUAUCUGGAGGAACAACAGUGGCGAAGGCGGCCAUCUGGACUGUAACUGACACUAAGGCGCGAAAGCGUGGGGAGCAAACAGG